GACGAACGCUGGCGGCGUGCUUAACACAUGCAAGUCGAACGGAAAGGCCCUGCUUUUGUGGGGUGCUCGAGUGGCGAACGGGUGAGUAACACGUGAGUAACCUGCCCUUGACUUUGGGAUAACUUCAGGAAACUGGGGCUAAUACCGGAUAGGAGCUCCUGCUGCAUGGUGGGGGUUGGAAAGUUUCGGCGGUUGGGGAUGGACUCGCGGCUUAUCAGCUUGUUGGUGGGGUAGUGGCUUACCAAGGCUUUGACGGGUAGCCGGCCUGAGAGGGUGACCGGCCACAUUGGGACUGAGAUGCGGCCCAGACUCCUACGGGAGGCAGCAGUGGGGAAUAUUGCACACUGGGCGGAAGCCUGAUGCAGCAACGCCGCGUGCGGGAUGACGGCCUUCGGGUUGUAACCCGCUUUCGCCUGUGACGAAGCGUGAGUGACGGUAAUGGGUAAAGAAGCACCGGCUAACUACGUG
RNAcentral lists this ribosomal RNA (468 nucleotides) under uncultured bacterium. RNAcentral's name for it is "partial 16S ribosomal RNA". It matches the Rfam family "Bacterial small subunit ribosomal RNA", at positions 28 to 507 of the family's 1533-position model. The record is from RNAcentral.